GACGAACGCUGGCGGCGUGCUUAACACAUGCAAGUCGAACGGAAAGGCCCUGCUUUUGUGGGGUGCUCGAUUGGCGAACGGGUGAGUAACACGUGAGUAACCUGCCCUUGACUUUGGGAUAACUUCAGGAAACUGGGGCUAAUACCGGAUAGGAUCUCCUGCUGCAUGGUGGGGGUUGGAAAGUGUCGGCCGUUGUGGAUGGACUGGCGGCUUAUCAGCUUGUUGGUGGGGUAGUGGCGUACCAAGGCUGUGACGGGUAGCCGGCCUUAGAGGGUGAACGGCCACCUUGGGCCUGCGAGACGGACCAGAAUGCUACGGGAGGCAGUAGUGGGGAAUCUUGCACAAUGGGCCGAAGCCUGAUGCAGCAACGUCGCGUGCGGGAUGCCGGCCUUCGGGUUGUAAACAGAUUUCGAAUGUGACGAAGCGUGAGUGACGGUAAUGGGUAAAGAAGCAACGGCUAACUACGUG
This 468-nucleotide ribosomal RNA is filed under the name uncultured bacterium. RNAcentral's name for it is "partial 16S ribosomal RNA". It matches the Rfam family "Bacterial small subunit ribosomal RNA", at positions 28 to 507 of the family's 1533-position model. The record is from RNAcentral.